Molecule: long non-coding RNA, 474 nt
Organism: Coffea arabica (coffee)
Lineage: Eukaryota; Viridiplantae; Streptophyta; Magnoliopsida; Gentianales; Rubiaceae
Source: RefSeq, a predicted model, not a curated record
CCGCUUCAUUUCUCUUCCAUUCGCACAUAUCAGAAACAAAUCUUCCUUCACUUUCUGAUCCUUUGCAUUGCUUUCAGCAUUGAAGAUUUGACUUGCACCAUCACUUUACGUCAGGAAAUUGUAACAUGCAAGUUGAAGACCAAAAUUUCAAAAGUUCAGUGGGAGAAGAAGCUGAAAAAUUGACGCCCGUCCAAGCUGCUGAACUGACCGAAACAAACAAUCAGCAGGCUAUGAAUUUACUCCAUCAUAUAACACAAGCAAUCCAAUGAAAAACACUUAUGUGUUUUAUUAAGAAAGCAACUCCAAAAGAAAAAGCAAUCAAAGGAACACCUUUCACCAUUGUCACAAGCUAUGAAGCUGAACAACUUGUAGCUGGCCAGCAGACUUCAAUGAACCUUCACAAUGAUCAUGCAUAAAAUUAAUGUACUUCAACUCAGUCUCUUUUGUGUUAAUGUACUUCAACUUAGUUCUUUU